Molecule: long non-coding RNA, 703 nt
Organism: Quercus lobata
Lineage: Eukaryota; Viridiplantae; Streptophyta; Magnoliopsida; Fagales; Fagaceae
Exons: 3
Source: RefSeq, a predicted model, not a curated record
UCUUUUAAUCUGACUCUCUUUAUUGAACAGUCUUUCUUUUCUCACUUUUGAGCAAGCCACGGCAUCCACAUUUAACUGACCAGAUCACAAUCGCCACAGUUUGUCUAAUAUUGCUUUGAUGGGCUGAUCAGUUCGAAUGGCUUUUGAGUUCGAAUGAUUGAAGUAAAAUUUCCUGGAUCUAGGGUCUCGAAUUGAGCUUAGUGUUCGAGGAGACUCUGUAAAUCACGUGUGAGGACUUUGUAGCUCGCAUGCGAUGAGAUUUCACCGUGUGAGCUCGAACCAAUUUUUUCUGGCUCGAGAUAUUUUGUGGCUCGUUGGAGGAGAUUUUGUCGUGCGAUUGCAGUUCGCACUCAAAAGUGAAUUUUGAACUCGCACCUUCCAGUUCGCACUCGAAGUGAACUUUGCGAACUCGCACAGAUUUUGCAGUUUGCUUCGAAGUGUACUUUGGGUUCGAAGUGGUACGAAGCAAAUUUCACGAAGUUGUGCGAAGUGGGUCUGAAUUGGUGGGAACUUGAAGAGAUUGGUGCUCGCACUGGUGCUAAGAGAGGUUCACACUGGCCUGAUUUAAAUUAAUCAUGGUGGCAGUUCCUGGUCUCGAACCUCAAGACCAAAUUUGAUUUUCAUGUCCAUCGCAGCAACAUGGUCGCGCGCAAGUAAACAUGCUAUCCUCGCAUGGGCCUCAAACUAGUGAAAAUUGCUGACC